RNAcentral lists this ribosomal RNA (301 nucleotides) under uncultured bacterium. RNAcentral describes it as "partial 16S ribosomal RNA". It matches the Rfam family "Bacterial small subunit ribosomal RNA", at positions 509 to 809 of the family's 1533-position model. The record is from RNAcentral.
CAGUCGCCGCGGUAAUACGUAGGUGGCAAGCGUUGUCCGGAAUUAUUGGGCGUAAAGGGCUCGCAGGCGGUUUCUUAAGUCUGAUGUGAAAGCCCCCGGCUCAACCGGGGAGGGUCAUUGGGAACUGGGAAACUUGAGUGCAGAGGAGGAGAGUGGAAUUCCACGUGUAGCGGUGAAAUGCGUAGAGAUGUGGAGGAACACCAGUGGCGAAGGCGACUCUCUGGUCUGUAACUGACGCUGAGGAGCGAAAGCGUGGGGAGCGAACAGGAUUAGAUACCCCAGUAGUCCCUGUCUCUUAUAA